AAAAUUCGAUUUUACUUUCGAAAAAGUUAUUUUUUUACGAAUAUAAAAAAAAAAUUGAAAAAAAAAAGAUUUUUAAAUUAUUUUUUUUCCGAAAAUACAAAAAUAUAUUUUUUUUCGCGAAUAAAAGAAAAUUCCAAAAAAAACUGAAUUUUUUUCAUUAAAAUACAAAAAAUAAUUUUUUCCUAAAAAAUAUAAAUCUUUUUAAAAAGUAAGUGAUUUUUUUCAAAAGUAAAAAAAUUGAAAAUUUUCAAAUAUACAAAAAUUAAUAUAUUUAAAAAAACUAUUUUUUCAAAAAUAAAUGGAUGAAUGGAUAUCCAUUUGCUAAAAAUAUGAUAAUGGAUGGAUUAGAUGAAUUUUAUUUUUAAGGGAUGGAUUGGAUUGGAUAUUUUUAAGAAAGUUUUAGUGGAUUGUUAAUGGACUAAUGGAUUGUUUUGAUCCAUCCAUUAACGAUCCAAUCCAUAUCCAUCCAAUUCAUCCAUUUUACCAUCCCUAAUUUAUAGUGAGCAGAGAGAGAAUCUGAAGAUUCAAAAAGUGGUGAAUGUAUACAAAAAAUCCAAGCUACUCUGCAAUUGAUGAAGACUCCAAUUUAUAGAGCUUCCUUGAGGUGAUUCUGUUAACUCUGUUAACCACCUUUCCCACCAAGCUUGUUAACCGUUUGAAACUCUGUUAAUCAGUUAGUUUUGGAUUCAAUUAGCUGUUAUAGUUAGUUAGAUUUAACAUACUGAAAAGUUAGUUAUAUAGUUAUAGGUUAGCCUGAGUUGGUUAUCAUUAGUUUUCCCUGUUAAAAGUCUGCUAAAUGUAUGUUAGUAAUUGCUGCUAUUCUAUUGUGAAUUAGUCUUCUAUUGUGAUUGGAAAAUUUCUGUUAGUGACUGUUACAUGUUAGUUAGUGUUCAAUUGAAUGAUACUUAGCUAGUUUAUGAUAAGAACUCAGCUAGCUUAUGGAUCAUGAAUUUUUUGUACAAGGAGUUGAAUGAAUGUUGGUGCAGGCUUGGUGCAUUUUCUGCUGCUAUGUAAAUGUUGAUUGAAUUGAAAUUUGAAGUUAGAAGUUAGGAUUAGUUAUUUGAAAUGUGAUUAAUGAGUUAAUUUAGCCAUGUGAAUGAAAGCUUACCGAUCAAGUUAGUUAAAUUGGACUCCUAUGAUUUUGAUCUGUUUUUUCCUUUUGUGUUUGCAGCAUGGAAGGUCAAAUGGCUCCGAUGGAUGACAAUGGUCACUUAUCAUUAUACCUACAGCAUCUACCACGUAUGAGUUCCUAAGACUGCUUUGGAUCAUCACUCACAAGUAAGGCUGCACCAUGAGUGAUCCACCGUCAAUCAUUCUUUGUUGAGCUUUGAGGUUGGCCAUGAUGAUUCGGAGUUGUUGUCCCUAGAGCACCAUACGGAUUCUGCUCCUAACUUGGACGCCAAAGCAGUUGUAGAAUCCGUUUUUGUUGUUGGAUAUGCGUCCUAUUUCUGAGUUGGCAGCAUCUAAUGUCUUCAUUCUUGCCCCAAAAUUUCUUGGAAAAAAAGUAGCAUUUUUGCCCAUACAAUGCAGUGAACAAAUCUUGAUGGGGUACUAGUGAUAUAUGUAAUGGUGUAAUGUAUGAACAUAUUUUAAUAAAAUGCUUCUUUUCCUUUAUCUUAA
Molecule: long non-coding RNA, 1620 nt
Filed under: Lathyrus oleraceus (garden pea)
Lineage: Eukaryota; Viridiplantae; Streptophyta; Magnoliopsida; Fabales; Fabaceae
Description: Pisum sativum (pea) long non-coding RNA (PSAT_LNC029156)
Source: RNAcentral